RNAcentral lists this ribosomal RNA (302 nucleotides) under uncultured bacterium. RNAcentral's name for it is "partial 16S ribosomal RNA". It matches the Rfam family "Bacterial small subunit ribosomal RNA", at positions 508 to 809 of the family's 1533-position model. The record is from RNAcentral.
GCAGUAGCCGCGGGAAUACGGAGGGUGCAAGCGUUAAUCGGAAUUACUGGGCGUAAAGCGCACGCAGGCGGUCUGACAAGUCAGAUGUGAAAUCCCCGGGCUUAACCUGGGAACUGCAUUUGAAACUGUCAGGCUGGAGUCUUGUAGAGGGGGGUGGAAUUCCAGGUGUAGCGGUGAAAUGCGUAGAGAUCUGGAGGAAUACCGGUGGCGAAGGCGGCCCCCUGGACAAAGACUGACGCUCAGGUGCGAAAGCGUGGGGAGCAAACAGGAUUAGAUACCCCUGUAGUCCCUGUCUCUUAUAA